GAGGCCCUACCAUCAGGAUGACCUCUGCUUUUACCAAGGGUCACUGAGGUCAAGGGUCAACU
This 62-nucleotide microRNA precursor is filed under the name Oreochromis niloticus (Nile tilapia). Its description in RNAcentral is "microRNA oni-mir-10920 precursor". The record is from miRBase by way of RNAcentral. Lineage: Eukaryota; Metazoa; Chordata; Actinopteri; Cichliformes; Cichlidae.